This 238-nucleotide unclassified non-coding RNA is filed under the name Capnodiales sp. Its description in RNAcentral is "partial contains 5.8S ribosomal RNA, internal transcribed spacer 2, and large subunit ribosomal RNA". The record is from RNAcentral. Lineage: Eukaryota; Fungi; Ascomycota; Dothideomycetes; Capnodiales.
CGCACAUUGCGCCCUUUGGUAUUCCGAAGGGCAUGCCUGUUCGAGCGUCAUUUCACCACUCAAGCCUGGCUUGGUAUUGGACGUCGCGGCUUCCGCGCGUCUUAAAGUCUCCGGCUGAGCCAUUCAUCUCUAAGCGUUGUGAUAUUCUAUUCGCUUCUUGACGAUGGAUGGUCUCUUCGGCCGUUAAAUCUUUCUCAAGGUUGACCUCGGAUCAGGUAGGGAUACCCGCUGAACUUAA